Molecule: RNA transcript, 1204 nt
Organism: Hibiscus syriacus
Lineage: Eukaryota; Viridiplantae; Streptophyta; Magnoliopsida; Malvales; Malvaceae
Gene name: zinc finger protein GIS2-like
Exons: 5
Source: RefSeq, a predicted model, not a curated record
ACUUUACUCUUUUAUCUUCGAAAUCCACGAUUAUUAGCGGCUGCUCUCUUGUUUCGCCAGAUCCAAAUUUCUCACAAUCAACAAAUCUCCCUUUCAUCUUUCAUUUUCAUUUACGAACAACGGUUAAAUUGCGCCCGGUAACGUCAGGGUGGAGCAGGAGCAGGAGCAGUUUGUGUGUUGGUAGAGGUUGUUUUGUUUCUACUGAUCUGUGGAGGUAGGUGUCGAUAAUCAUAAGUUUGAACAUGAGUUCAUACAGCAGGAGCCGGAGCCGGAGUCCCAUGGAUCGUAAGAUCCGAUCUGAUCGCUUUUCUUACCGUAAUGCACCCUACAGGAGGGAGUCUCGUCGGGGUUUCAGCCAAAACAAUCUAUGCAAGAACUGCAAACAACCAGGUCAUUAUGCUAGAGAGUGCCCUAAUGUGGCAAUUUGUCACAACUGUAAUCUCCCUGGGCACAUUGCUUCGGAAUGCACGACCAAGUCUUUAUGCUGGAACUGCCGUGAACCUGGGCACACAGCAAGCCACUGUCCAAAUGAGGGAAUCUGCCACACCUGCGGGAAGUCUGGGCAUCGGGCCAGAGACUGCACUGCACCCCCGAUGCCACCUGGGGACGUGAGGUUAUGCAACAAUUGCUAUAAGCCCGGUCAUAUCGCUGCUGACUGUACAAAUGAUAAGGCAUGCAAUAACUGUAGGAGGCCAGGUCACUUGGCACGUGAUUGUACAAGCGACCCUAUCUGCAACCUGUGCAAUGUAGCUGGACAUAUGGCUAGGCAUUGCCCAAAAGGCAACAUGAUCGGAGAUCGAAGCGGCGGCAGGCGGGGCAGUGGCGGGAGCGGUGGUUACCGAGACCAUCGAGAUAUUGUUUGUCGUAACUGCCAUCAGCUUGGUCAUAUGAGCCGAGAUUGCAUGGGGCCUUUGAUGAUCUGCCACAACUGCGGCGGAAGAGGACACAUGGCGUACGAGUGCCCUUCUGGGAGGUAUUUGGACCGCUACCCUAGGAGGUACUGAUGAUCCAUGCAACUCGUGGCGGCUGCAAUUUAUAUUAGCAUUAUGCUUUAAUUUGUGAUUGAAUUCAGUGUAGUGAUUUGCCGGAGUUUGUUGAAGUAAGCAUACAUAUUAUUCAUUAGUUAGUUUUGAUUAUGACGCACUGUUGUGUAUCAUAAUAAGAAGCUUUAUUAAUGGCUAAACUUGGUGAUUGAUUUCCGGUC